Molecule: long non-coding RNA, 2821 nt
Organism: Brachypodium distachyon (stiff brome)
Lineage: Eukaryota; Viridiplantae; Streptophyta; Magnoliopsida; Poales; Poaceae
Exons: 3
Source: RefSeq, a predicted model, not a curated record
GGAGAAGUCCGCAAGGCUAGAACAGGACCCACGCCGCCGUGUCCUCCCGGAGGAGAUCCUCGCCGGCGGCGGACCGCCCACCACCCCAAUAACCCUCCUCUUCUUCCCCGUCACCUCCACCAUCCUCUCCAGCUUCGAGUACGGGCGGAACCGAAUACCAACCCACCCUCGCCUUUGAUUGACCAUUGGAAAUCUACCGGCGAGUGGCGCCUCGUACUCUACCGGAACCAGAAAGGUCUGAUGCUCACAUUGGUCUUGAAUUUCUGAUACCAGGCCUUUCUUGGGAUGAAUUACUUCGAAGUUGCAGGUCCAGCUUUCAGGCUCCACUGCAGCUACAACUAUGAACUCGAUGAGAUGUUCCCUGAAUUGACUCGCUGCUGUGCAGUUCCUCCCUACGAGAUUUCGUUGUUGAGUUCAAUUUUUCAAUCUUCUUUUUUUAGAUGAAAGGCAGUUGCCCAGUUCCAUUUGAACGAAACAGAAUUCAGUUAGGCUCCAUUACAGGCCAUAAUCAGGCAUCAACCGCUAUAAGAAGCGCAAACGAACGAAAACGGUCUAAAAGCAACUGAACGAGGUAUCAAAACUGGGGAUAUAGCACACCUGGUAUGUCACAAAGAUUUCCCAUCUUUUUGACAGUUUCUUUACAUACACAGAUUGUCAUAUACAGACUCUUCUUUUUCCACAGUAUUCUGCACCGAUAAGGCGAUAACUAUUGUUUGGUCGUUCUGAUCUAGCCAUCAGUCUCCACUGAAUCAAGUACCCAAUCUUGUGCGAUGCAAAGUGGCACUCGAAGGGCCUCUAACUCCCAUAUGGUUUUUGCUCGUUCAUGCUCGUCAUUUUUGUUUUUUGGAAGAGUGAAUGAACACACAGAAAGCUAGCUCUUUGUAAUUUGCAGUAAAAAUAAAGGAGAUGGAGUAAGAAAUUAGAUUGAUUGCAAAAAAAUCUCUGCCAUGCGCACUGGUGCUAGCACACCAGCAUACGGCAUUCAUGGAUUACACACGGCACCAACAUGCCGACAACCAUUGCAGCAGAGCUGCUGGAUUUGGUACAGUUUCAAAGAACUAGGCUAGAUACUUCCUCUCAACUUGGGAUAUCGCAGUGUGGUCACUUGGGGGAUUCUCUUACUCUGUGUCUGGCUCCCAUGAACUAACCAUAGAAUUGGAAAUUAAAAUAGAAAUAGGGUUGUUUGUCUGCCAAAAGAAUUAGAACCAUCAAUUCCAUCUCCAAUUCCAAGGAUGGGAAAAUAACUAGAUCAAUUGUUUACUCCCACCAAAUAAUCAGAUGCUUUCAGUGGAAGCCCCAAGCUUGUGAGAGGCCCACUGUACACUAGGGCAUGUCAAAAUGCACAAAGUUGCUCCUUUUAGGACUGGAUUAUCUCGGAAAAAAUACUCCCUCCGAUCCAUAAUAAGUAUUGCUGAUUUAGUACAAAGUUCCAAAUGCCAAACUUCAAUAAGCUGGCACAAACACAUCCAGUUGAUCACGCCAGGCAUUUCCGAGCCCUAAUAAGCCAGGAUCACAGCGAGACUCAGGCUGGCACAAACACAUCCUGCUUCCCUCCUUCACAUCUGUUCCAUCAACCACCCCCUUUUACAUCUAUAUGUCCUUUGCCAUCGGCGAUGUGGUCUCCUCUGUGGUGGGAAUCAGAGGCGUGUGCCUCUUAGAUCACCGUCCUCAUCUAAGUAUGAAUCUAAUCUACAUUGUCGGUGUGGUCUCCUAUUUCUGUAAUAUGAUGAUGAGGUAUUCUCGUGGAUCCGCUCCACCUGCGCCCCGCCGACCGCCGGCGAAUUUUUUUCAACCUGGUGGCAGGUGUUUGUCUAUGCAGUCCUCCCCUUCCCCUGCCUGGAAGGGCACUACGUCACUGGUCAGGCUUACGGCGUGGUUGAUCUGGAAGCAUCUCCUGCCGUCUUCGACAAUGCAACCCCCAACCUCGCCUCUCUUCUUGACCUCAUCAAGAUGGACACUAAGAGUUGGGCGAGAGCGGGAGCUGUGGGCCUUGGAGCAUUGCUGCCGGCAGACCCUAGUUAGGCGCGUCAUGUUGUAAUUCGGGUGUGGCCCUCUCUGGCCUUGUACUACAUGACUUUCUUUCUGCAAAUGCAUUGAGACGCAAAGCUUUUGCGUUUUAUUCUGUGGUUGCCACAUAUUUAUUCUUGCUUGGUUCAAGCAUUUGAGCAUCCCAUGUUCCCUGCAAUUAAUUGAUCUCAUCUUUUCUUAGUAUUCAGCUGUUGUUCUGGUGAGAUGAAUUCACUUUUUCUGGGUGAUAAGAAACCACUUUAACAAGACAGAAUUUAAUGAGGCUAACCAAAUGAAGAACUUACAAACUGAUUUCUUCCAUAUCUGCCAGCAACAUGUUGCACUGGUAGAACCAGCACACUGGAGUUUAUAAUCUGAUCGUACAUGAUACUCUCCAUUUCCAAAUAGACUUCUACGAUUUCGAUGAAUCACUGUGUUGGUACUCAACUGGUCCCAAAGCUGCAGGUCUUCACUAGUGGCCUGAAAAAUCCUCUCCUGAAGAGUGCGCUUGUGCUUCAUCGUUGUCGAUACACAGGCUGCUCAACCGAGCCCUUGUUCAACCAUCCUCCCUGCUAGAACAGAAACUUCCCUCCACUUCCUAACUGCAAUGAAACCAGAGAAUUGAAGAAAAGCAUGAAUCUCCUAUUUGGCAUGGACCUACCGGAACAGCAAUCCAGGGAAAGAGGUAAGGCUAUCUGUGUAAGUGACUCGAGGUUUGGACAUUUCUCUAUGUACAGAGACUCAAGGGAUGUAAGAUGAAUCAUGCUGUAUGGCAGUGAUGUCAAUUCUGGGCAGUCAGUGAAGUGAAGUUCCU